GAUGAACGCUGGCGGCGUGCCUAAUACAUGCAAGUCGAGCGAACGGACGAGAAGCUUGCUUUUCUGAUGUUAGCGGCGGACGGGUGAGUAACACGUGGAUAACCUACCUAUAAGACUGGGAUAACUUCGGGAAACCGGAGCUAAUACCGGAUAAUAUUUUGAACCGCAUGGUUCAGAAGCGAAAGACGGUCUUGCUGUCACUUAUAGAUGGAUCCGCGCUGCAUUAGCUAGUUGGUAAGGUAACGGCUUACCAAGGCAACGAUGCAUAGCCGACCUGAGAGGGUGAUCGGCCACACUGGAACUGAGACACGGUCCAGACUCCUACGGGAGGCAGCAGUAGGGAAUCUUCCGCAAUGGGCGAAAGCCUGACGGAGCAACGCCGCGUGAGUGAUGAAGGUCUUCGGAUCGUAAAACUCUGUUAUUAGGGAAGAACAUAUGUGUAAGUAACUGUGCACAUCUUGACGGUACCUAAUCAGAAAGCCACGGCUAACUACGUG
RNAcentral lists this ribosomal RNA (497 nucleotides) under uncultured bacterium. Its description in RNAcentral is "partial 16S ribosomal RNA". It matches the Rfam family "Bacterial small subunit ribosomal RNA", at positions 28 to 507 of the family's 1533-position model. The record is from RNAcentral.